UUCCACUCUUCUCAUCUGUGCCUGUCAGUCAAGAGGCCAAGUAGCACUGUGCAUGCAACACCGUCUCUGGCGCCCACUGACCAGAAAUCACCAACACAACUCUUUUGACCUGCACAUCUACAGUGACACACAACCGAAAGCACAGAUCAGCUGCAUUUUGGAUCCAAUUGUACCUCACACCUCAGUCUAUAGCAGCUUUAGAAGCCAGAGCUGGGCCAUCUGAAAACAGAAUGUCGUAUGAACGGAUUCUGGCCAUUGAAAAUUUGAGUGAUGUCCGAAAUCCAUGGAAGGGAUUCACUAUGAACCGGUGUUUGGUGGUGGCACUAGUUGUACUGCUUGUGAGCUCGGGAGUGAAUGAACUGCACGAGGCUCUGGAUACAUUUGUUGAGGAAACAGGAAUCAGGUCUUUCUUUGGAAGUCUGCAGGAGGGUUCACUACCUCAGAUUUCCAUAUGGGACAAUGUCAUGUGGUGGUGGGGAUCCGACGAGGUCGGAGUGAUAAGGAGAAGAAAAAAGCCGUUAGGCAGCAAAAUCAUCCUGAAACCCAAAGCCAAACAAUAAGACAUACUAUCCAGCUGCUGCAGUAAAGGUGAACGGUCGAGAAACAGACGUUGCAACAACAGGUUACUGAAUAAAGGAUGCAAAAGUAUACUUUGGAUUUAAUCAUGGGUCGACAAAAAUCUUCAUUUAAGUAACAACUGUUUUGAAAUGCCACAUAAUAACACACUUUCAAAUGUUGUCUUCAGCAGUAAUGAUCAGCUUAUUAAUGGCAGAUGUACCUUAAAAAGGUAGAUAUAUAUCAGGCAUGUGUGCCUUGUAUUAUUAUUUGAUUAAAUAUUUAUUAAUAUUUAUGUACAUUCACUGCCAGUGUAUAAAUACUGCAUACACCAAAUAAAUGACAAUUAAAUGACACUUAAUUAACAAAA
Molecule: long non-coding RNA, 925 nt
Organism: Mugil cephalus (flathead mullet)
Lineage: Eukaryota; Metazoa; Chordata; Actinopteri; Mugiliformes; Mugilidae
Exons: 5
Source: RefSeq, a predicted model, not a curated record